Molecule: long non-coding RNA, 650 nt
Filed under: Homo sapiens (human)
Lineage: Eukaryota; Metazoa; Chordata; Mammalia; Primates; Hominidae
Description: long intergenic non-protein coding RNA 635
Source: RNAcentral
AUAGCAACAGCAGCGUAGCUGAACAUCUUACGGAUGGCCCAGGGCUCCAAAGGCUCGUUUCCUAAGUGAGAGAGAGCCUGGCUGAAGCUGUAUUACCAUUCAUUCUCCAGCCUCCGAAGUCUCAAAGCAUCACUUCCACCAUACUCUAACUGUCAAGACAAACACAAAGGCCCAGAAACUGCCAGACUGUCUUCUGAAGUGGCUAUAAUAUUUACACUCCCAUCAGCAGUGUAGAAGGGGUCUCACUAUGUUGUCUGGAGUGCUGUGGUGGAGUGGAGUGGCUAUUCACAGAGCCUGUUCUGCUGGGACACAGAAUCACUUGCUCCAUCUCAUACAUUGAUGAUGAUUAAUUUGUAUGUGUACCUUCCAAAAAAGAUGGUUGUGUUUGAAUGGAGGCCUUCUGGACAGGAAAAUAAUCACAUCCUUCCUGAGAUAAUGAGCACACAAUUGCCUGGAUACCUGAAGGAAUGGAGACAGCGGCAGAAAACACUGCAGAGAGGUGGAAACAUCCGUUAAUAUUUUAAAAUCCCAUUACUGCUACCAACAAUAAUAAUGGAUGCAUAGAAAUAGAUCUGGAUUAGCUGAGCUUGAAACAGUCCAUCUCACACACACACAAAAGAAUUUCAGGUAAUGAAGAAAAGAAAAGGAAA